AAGCGAAACAUAGGCAUUCGUGCCUAUGUCUACCCAGUGUUGUGAUUGGGUACUGACGAGCAACUAAGA
RNAcentral lists this non-coding RNA (69 nucleotides) under Acinetobacter wuhouensis. Lineage: Bacteria; Pseudomonadati; Pseudomonadota; Gammaproteobacteria; Moraxellales; Moraxellaceae. The record is from RNAcentral.